GCCUGGGUGGCUCAGUCAGUUAAGCAUCUGACUUCAGCUCAGGUCAUGAUCUCGCGGUUUGUGGGUUCAAGCCCCGUGUCAGGCU
Molecule: transfer RNA, 85 nt
Filed under: Felis catus (domestic cat)
Lineage: Eukaryota; Metazoa; Chordata; Mammalia; Carnivora; Felidae
Rfam family: tRNA
About the family: Transfer RNA (tRNA) molecules are approximately 80 nucleotides in length. Their secondary structure includes four short double-helical elements and three loops (D, anti-codon, and T loops).
Source: Rfam by way of RNAcentral